This 363-nucleotide ribosomal RNA is filed under the name Ignavibacteria bacterium. RNAcentral describes it as "bacterial SSU rRNA". It matches the Rfam family "Bacterial small subunit ribosomal RNA", at positions 1179 to 1533 of the family's 1533-position model. Lineage: Bacteria; Pseudomonadati; Ignavibacteriota; Ignavibacteria. The record is from RNAcentral.
AUGACGUCAAAUCAUCAUGCCCCUUAUGACCUGGGCUACACACGUGCUACAAUGGUGACUACAAAGAGAAGCGAAGCUGUGAAGUGGAGCAAAUCUCAAAAAGGUCAUCUCAGUUCGGAUUGUAGUCUGCAACUCGACUACAUGAAGCUGGAAUCGCUAGUAAUCGCGAAUCAGAAUGUCGUGGUGAAUACGUUCCCGGGUCUUGUACACACCGCCCGUCACACCAUGGGAGUUGGAUAUGCCCGAAGUCAGUGACCCAACCGUAAGGAGGGAGCUGCCGAAGGUGGAGCCGAUAACUGGGGUGAAGUCGUAACAAGGUAGCCGUAUCGGAAGGUGCGGCUGGAUCACCUCCUUUCUAAGGAA